Ochotona princeps (American pika) is the source of this 138-nucleotide small nucleolar RNA. The record is from Ensembl. NCBI's taxonomy places the organism in Eukaryota, Metazoa, Chordata, Mammalia, Lagomorpha, Ochotonidae.
GACCUCCCUGGAUCGCGUCUGCAGACUGACUGGUGCUCUGCCAGGUUCGGCAGCAGGAGAAAGAGUGAGGCCGCAGAGCCACCUGUUCCAGUCCCAGCUCGCCUGGUGGCCGGCGACUGGAAGAGCUCUGCCACAGCA